Molecule: long non-coding RNA, 2236 nt
Organism: Passer domesticus (house sparrow)
Lineage: Eukaryota; Metazoa; Chordata; Aves; Passeriformes; Passeridae
Exons: 5
Source: RefSeq, a predicted model, not a curated record
CCCCACCCCUUCUCAGCGAGUUCUCAACAUCAUCACCCCAAGUACAACACCCUGGGCAGGAGUCCCUGGGGCUCUCUUGACAAAGUGGGCAGCCCAAGACACCCUGAUGGUGAUCCCCUGGCUGGGCUGUGCUCCAUGAAAGGACAAGAGACACCUAAGACACCAAGAGACACCAAAGGUGAGGCAAGACCAUACAUACCUGAGGAACAGAAGAGCUGACUUCCUGAGGACAACCAGUUGAUGCACUUUGGUCUCCAAGUAGGACAUAAUGAAGGAUUAAUUGCAAAGGAUUAAGAUUCUCCAGAUUGCUAAAAUUCUGAACAAAUUGCUUUUAACAGCCUAAAGAUGGAACAAGUAGAAAUCUUUUUUGAAGGAUGUGGGGGUGUCCUAUGUCAUCUGCCAUUUAACAAGCUGACUUUAGAUAUGAUCUAAAGUUAAGGAUAUCCAGGUCAUUUCCCUUUGCCAUCCUCCAUCUCUAUUUUGGGAAUAGCCAUCUAAUCAAAAGUGUGAUAGAUGGAACAUGACUGGAGAAAAAAAGAAAGUUUCAGUUCUCCCAGCAAGUGGAAAGGUGACCUGCAAACAUCUGAACAAAAAAGGGAAGAAAGUUUAUUUUUAUGUGCUGAAUAUUCUGCACAGGAAGAGACACAGCACAUUUAGAGACUGCACAGGAGACACUUUAAACACCACCUACUCCAUAGUCCAUCCCAUUAAAUUCUGUGCACAGUUUUUCUCUUGAUCUCUGUCUGUGUACACAUAGAUAUAAAACCAGCUUUGCUAAUAGAGGGUCUUGUUUGAAAUGUGGUAGUUUUCCCAUUGUUUUCAAAGGGGUUUGGAUCCUCAAAAGAAUUUGCCUUUCCUGCUAUGAAAUCAGUUCUAUAAUACCUGGCCAAAGAGGGAACCAAGGAAUCUGAUUCUUUCAUAUUUCAGAUUUUCAGGCUCUUAAAAAAAUUGCAGCAGCCUCACUUGUUUUAUGAUAGUGUUUCAAAUUCAGAGUCCACUUUGGGGAAACUUGAAUGAUUUUAAAUUAUUUCUGGACAAAAUAAAUAUGGUAAAGCUGAGGCAAAAUAUUUUUAUUCAUGGAUGAAAAAGAAGAAAGGUUUUCCCAACCAGAUCUGCUUUUGAAAGAAGGAAAUUACUGUGGACUUUCCAGAAGACUUUAUUUUCUCUAAUGAGAUGUAUAUAUCUUUAUCAGUUUUGCAUAUUGUAUUUGCAGCCAGAGCUGCAAAGUCUUGGCUGCUGACCCAGUAACUCAGAUUUUGGGAGGUUUGAGAGUAAAGCAAGAGACAGUUGCCAGGAGGUUACUGCUAUGGAGCCAGAGGGUGACCUUUGACAAGAGGUGAAAUUCCCAGACUCAGUUUCAGGGAUUUUGCCAGAUUAGAGCCAAGUGGGAUCUACUCUCAUGGGGGAGCUGUUCUGGAACACCCAAAAAUCACCCUUGUGAUCUUCCUGCAUAUUUGGAAAAUGCUCCUUGUAAAACCUUGUCCAUGUUUUGUCAGAUCAUCUGAACAAACACUGUUCUACAAAGCAUUGCCUUCCAGAUUAAUGGGUCGGGGUGAUUCCUAUUUUUCUGUUGUUUCUCCUCUUAAUUUAAAAAGCGCUUCAUUGGAAAAUUGCAACUAGCUGUAAUAGAAACUGCAAAUUCGUUUCACAUAUGCCACCCCAGAGUCGCCAACUGGCGUGGUAAAUAAGUAACAAUUUAUAAAGUGAAGCAAUCUGAGAACAUUCCCCAGCAGUUAACACAUGGAAGGUAUGAAUAUGCAUGAGCCAUUUUCAGGUUGUUAUGGUGUACAUUUUCAUUCUGAAACAAUUAUAAAAAACAUUAUUAGAGAGGUGUUAAAUGUGUCAGAGAAGCAUUUGGCACAGCCAUUUUCACAGAGCUCUUUAUUUUGGGGCAUUGCUGUUUUCUUGUGAUUGGUUUAAAAAAAUCCAAUAAAAUAGUGCUGAGAAAAAAAAAUGUUUCUUGAUAGUAAUAAGCUGAUUUCCUGUGAGAGGAUUCAACUUAAACAGCCUGUUCCCAUUUAAGGUCUCAUUCAGGAAAUCAGUGCCUGUGUUUUCAGAAGCAGUCACCAAAGUUUAAAUCUGGCCUGGCCUGAUCUUCACUGGAUCCACUUGGAGUGAAAUGUGCCCAAUCCAGCCAAAUGAGCAAGAAUUUAGUGCAAAAAGUAAUGGUUUAGAUAGUUGUAAGCUGUGGGAAGUCCCUGGCUGAGUGAACUGGACUCUGAGUGGUCUCUCCUGC